UACAGAGGGUGCGAGCGUUAAUCGGAAUUACUGGGCGUAAAGCGCGCGUAGGCGGCUUUGCAAGUCGGGUGUGAAAUCCCCCGGCUUAACCUGGGAACUGCGUCUGAUACUGGGAGGCUAGAGUAUGGGAGAGGGAUGUAGAAUUCCAGGUGUAGCGGUGAAAUGCGUAGAUAUCUGGAGGAAUACCGGUGGCGAAGGCGGCAUCCUGGACCAUUACUGACGCUGAGGCGCGAAAGCUAGGGGAGCAAACGGG
This 253-nucleotide ribosomal RNA is filed under the name uncultured bacterium. RNAcentral's name for it is "partial 16S ribosomal RNA". It matches the Rfam family "Bacterial small subunit ribosomal RNA", at positions 524 to 776 of the family's 1533-position model. The record is from RNAcentral.